UAACCAGGUUUCCGUAGGUGAACCUGCGGAAGGAUCAUUAUCGAAUAAACUUGGUGAGUUGUAGCUGGCUCCUUGGAGCAUGUGCACGCUCAUCAUCUUUAUCCAUCCACCUGUGCACAAUCUGUAGACUUUGAGAGGGAUGAGAACAACUGACCUGACUCUCAACAAUUUGUUGGAUACGUGGAAUGCUAUGUAACAAUGUAGCUUUCUUCGAAACAGGAUUAGGUUGUGACUUGCUCUUGAGUUUAUGUGUCUUCAUAAACUACUUAGUAUGUUGUAGAAUGUAUUCAAUGGGCCUCUGUGCCUAUAUAAACUUUAUACAACUUUCAGCAACGGAUCUCUUGGCUCUCGCAUCGAUGAAGAACGCAGCGAAAUGCGAUAAGUAAUGUGAAUUGCAGAAUUCAGUGAAUCAUCGAAUCUUUGAACGCACCUUGCGCUCCUUGGUAUUCCGAGGAGCAUGCCUGUUUGAGUGUCAUUAAAUUCUCAACCCAUCCAACCUUUGUGGUUGGUAUGUGGCUUGGAUGUGGGUGUUGUGCAGGCCUUGAAUAAAGGUCAGCUCGCCUGAAAUACAUUAGCGGAACGGUUUGCGAUCUGUCACUGGUGUGAUAAUUAUCUACGCCAAAGACAUUGAACGCUCUCUGUCUGUUCAGCUUCCAAUAGUCCCUUGU
This 668-nucleotide ribosomal RNA is filed under the name Cystolepiota seminuda. Its description in RNAcentral is "eukaryotic LSU rRNA". The stretch from base 322 to 475 matches the Rfam family "5.8S ribosomal RNA". The record is from RNAcentral. Lineage: Eukaryota; Fungi; Basidiomycota; Agaricomycetes; Agaricales; Agaricaceae.